RNAcentral lists this ribosomal RNA (497 nucleotides) under uncultured bacterium. RNAcentral's name for it is "partial 16S ribosomal RNA". It matches the Rfam family "Bacterial small subunit ribosomal RNA", at positions 28 to 507 of the family's 1533-position model. The record is from RNAcentral.
GAUGAACGCUGGCGGCGUGCCUAAUACAUGCAAGUCGAGCGAACAGAUGAGGAGCUUGCUCCUCUGACGUUAGCGGCGGACGGGUGAGUAACACGUGGAUAACCUACCUAUAAGACUGGGAUAACUUCGGGAAACCGGAGCUAAUACCGGAUAAUAUAUUGAACCGCAUGGUUCAAUAGUGAAAGACGGUUUUGCUGUCACUUAUAGAUGGAUCCGCGCCGCAUUAGCUAGUUGGUAAGGUAACGGCUUACCAAGGCAACGAUGCGUAGCCGACCUGAGAGGGUGAUCGGCCACACUGGAACUGAGACACGGUCCAGACUCCUACGGGAGGCAGCAGUAGGGAAUCGUCCGCAAUGGGCGAAAGCCUGACGGGGCAACGCCGCGUGAGUGAUGAAGGUCUUCGGAUCGUAAAACUCUGUUAUUAGGGAAGAACAAAUGUGUAAGUAACUAUGCACGUCUUGACGGUACCUAAUCAGAAAGCCACGGCUAACUACGUG